Molecule: ribosomal RNA, 609 nt
Filed under: Triticum aestivum (bread wheat)
Lineage: Eukaryota; Viridiplantae; Streptophyta; Magnoliopsida; Poales; Poaceae
Description: partial small subunit ribosomal RNA
Source: RNAcentral
AUGUCCGGAUCCAACCUUCAAGGCCGGUGGAUGGCUUCCUCUGUCAUAGAGGAGGACAUCAAGAAGCUUAGGGAGGCCAGGUAUCUCACCGCCGAAAUCCCGCACAGGCUGCCUGCUCAAGGGCAGGUCAUCCCCACUCCCAAACCCAACGAGAGUGUCAUAUUUGUUUCCCACUUCCUCCGAGGGCUAGGUUUUAGUCUUGAUCCCUUCGUGAGAGGGCUCAUGUUCUAUUAUGGGCUAGAUUUCCAUGAUCUAGCUCCAGAUUCCAUCCUUCACAUCUCGUCGUUUAUCAUCGUGUGUGAGGCCUUCCUCCGCAUCACCCCACACUUCGUCUUAUGGCUCAAGACCUUCAAUGUGAAGCCGAAGAUGAUCGAUGGGCGACACGCAGAGUGCAGAGGUGCUAGAAUAAGCAAAGGCGCCGAUGCCCCAUGGCUAAAGGGUUCCUUCCCAGAGGUGUCCGAUUUAUGGCAACAGGAGUUGUUUUACAUUACAACUCCUCGAGGUACAAAGCGGGCGCCCCCCCCCCCACCUUCCGCUCAUGCCCUCCACCACAACUGGCGUCAUGGGUCAACAAGGGGCUGGACUGGGGGCCAUUUAAUGAUGUGCUGA